Small nucleolar RNA from Hermetia illucens (black soldier fly), 129 nucleotides. RefSeq annotates it as small nucleolar RNA psi18S-1377. NCBI's taxonomy places the organism in Eukaryota, Metazoa, Arthropoda, Insecta, Diptera, Stratiomyidae. The record is from RefSeq and is a predicted model, not a curated record. The transcript has a single exon.
AUGUCCUUGUGUUAUUUGCAAAUCGGAAACCGUUGAUUUGUGAUUGUCAAAAAGGACAAACAGCAAAGCCGGUCCUCAUCGUUUUUUGUGUUCCUUUGACCUUUAGACGUGUUUGAUUUGGCGACAUUG